AGGAGUAACAACCACGGUGGUGGCGGCAGCUCCGGAAACCUGGAUUCAGCCCCCGCAGGAACUCUGAAGCACUCCGCCUGCAGGGCCUCGAGGCUCCGGGGGGCG
Molecule: microRNA precursor, 105 nt
Filed under: Canis lupus familiaris (dog)
Lineage: Eukaryota; Metazoa; Chordata; Mammalia; Carnivora; Canidae
Also listed under: 1 other name
Description: mir-8834 microRNA precursor family
Rfam family: mir-8834 microRNA precursor family
Source: Rfam by way of RNAcentral